UACAGAGGUCUCGAGCGUUGUUCGGAUUCAUUGGGCGUAAAGGGCGCGUAGGCGGCGGGGUAAGUCUGGUGUGAAAUCUCGGAGCUCAACUCCGAAAUUGCACUGGAUACUGCUCUGCUAGAGGACUGGAGAGGAGACUGGAAUUGCCGGUGUAGUGGUGAAAUGCGUAGAGAUCGGCAGGAACACCCAGGGGGAAACCAGCCGACUGGGCAAGUGCUGACGCUGAGGUGCGAGAGCGUGGGGAGCGAACCGG
RNAcentral lists this ribosomal RNA (253 nucleotides) under uncultured bacterium. RNAcentral describes it as "partial 16S ribosomal RNA". It matches the Rfam family "Bacterial small subunit ribosomal RNA", at positions 524 to 776 of the family's 1533-position model. The record is from RNAcentral.